UUUUUCCUUUCCUUAAACGCGCAACAUUUUUGCUCCAGCUGCGCGCCCCCUGCUGGCCUGGAAACUGUUUACACCAACCACUUCAUUUCCACACAAAAUGAAAACUGAACUAUUUCAGCGGAGAACUUGUUUUAUUCUAGUUACAGAACAUCACAAUUAGCUUUCUUUGUCUGAAGUGAGUCUGAGAUAAAGUUGUCUUUAAAUGACGUCAUGCAUGGGUGACAGUACAACUAAUUGUCAAUAUGAGGGAAACGAAUCAAAGCAACAAAGAUGGAUAAACAUUACUGUAAGCAUAAAUAUCAGAAAAUAUGGGUAGAGUUAUAGAGGUUUGCAGAGUUGAAAUCAAACAUAUUCAUGUCGAAUUCAUUACAUUUUGUGGGUUUAAUGAAAGACAUUAGUAGGAUUUUUGUUUUCUAAUUCUGAACGAAUAAAGCAUCCUUUCAUUUUAACCCUACAAUCCUAAAUUCAUUAUAAAAACAAAUAAAAACACAACAUGAAAAAAAGAAGUCGCCCAUUGUUUCUGAUACAACCGAACAAUUAAACAUUUAAUAUUUCAAGUAAUAAUAAUAUUCUACUUUUUAGUAUUUUCUUUUGGUGACUCGUUUGGUUUUCCUUAGAUGACUCGUUAAUGUGGAGCGCUUCGUUGUUCCACCUCCAUUUCAGAAGAUGCAUGGGGAGGAAAGAAGAUGGAGUGGCCGGCAAGGAGCAGUUCCAUGUUCGGCCGCUUGGGGGCCCCAGUGAUCUUUCUCUGAGAACAAACGCGUGUUUACCUCCUGGGCGCAAUGCCCGACAACCCCGGAAGAGGGCGCCAUGGCACACGUGUUUCCAGCCAGUCAGGAACAUGAGAGGCGGUAGAAAGAGCUGAGGAGGGGGAGGGUUGACCAGUACUGGCCAAACUGGUAAGUGGACUGGUUUCUGGGAAUAUCAGCAGCUGUUCCUGUUUCUAUGAUGUUCUAAACAGAAAAAAAAAUUUAUUUCCUCAAAUAAGGAAACCUCAUGAAGCCUGAUCAGGUUGUGUCGGUUGCUGUUGGCGGUGCUGCUGUGGGGACCUGAAGAUGCUUUAUAGGGGGGAAAGUGAAGUGAUUAAAAAAACCCUGCAGUCAAAUUAAAGCACUUCUGGCCACUAAAGAAUUCAAAACAAAUGAAAAGAGGAACAAUGUCAGAGGUUCCUCUUUUGCUGUCUGCUCAGGACUCUAAUCAGGUCAGCUGGUCUGUUCUAUCGCCUCAUGAGGUUGUUAGCUUUCUGGUUGGCGGCGUCGAUGCGGGAGACGUUCAGGUUGGCCUGCAGACAAAGACAGAAAACAGGUGCUUCAUUACAGGAAGAACAGUCUGGAAUAUUCUACGAGUGUGGUGGUCCCCAGCGAUAAUACAGCCUGUUGAAUCAGAAACGAGGUGAUGGAAACACGCAGGGGAAACUAAAAUGGCCGUGGCGCACCAGGAAGUCCGGUGAGACGUCUUUGUAUCUUUUUUUCCCUUCCUUUAAUUUCAGUCCACAAACAAUCGCUACUGCUUCUUCCCCUUCGGACAUGUUUGUUUUCUCUGAAUUCAUAUUUGAUCUCAAGUGGCUUAUAGAGAUUUCCUGUCUGACUCUUGAAUGUUGAUGAGUGAAAUUGGUCUGCGUGCGGUGUGUCGUCUUUGCUGUAGCACUGUAGGACCAAACCUGUUAUUUCUAUCAUCAUGAGUGGAGUUUCUCAGGUUUUUAAAAUCUUGCCAGGGAACCAGGGAUCAGUAGGGGUUAACUGGAGUGGUGAUUCCCUGUUUGUUAGUGUUUUUAAAAACAUUUUCCAGCUCUAUCCUAACACUGAGGAGUCGUAGGUUUCAUACCGCCUCCGUAAUGCGGAUGAUCUGAUCUUUCUGUGACUCCAGCUCAUUGCCGAUGUCCAGAGCCAUGCUUUUCAGAUUUCCCACGAUGCUCCCCACGUGAGCCAGGUUUUCCUCCAUCUCAUCCUCUCUGGCGUCGUCCAUCACCCUGAAACAAAGGAGGCAGUGUGUGUGUGUGUAUGUGUGAUGACGUUGCAUGUUUGAGCAGCUGCCUUGGGGAGUUAAUGACGGCUUGGAUUACCUCCAGGCUGUCAGAAUAAAAGCAAACACCCACCAGGCUGCUACCUCGCUAGCUGCUCUGUGUACCUGCGGAUGUGUCCUCCACUCAUCAUCAUCUGCUCUCGCUGGUCGACGACCCGAGACGUUGGAGGCUGAUUGGCUAUUACCCCAUCCUGAUUGGAGGCUCCGCCCCAAACUGCCUUGUACGCCCUGCUCUCCUCGAAGGCUUUCAGUCUGAGAGGAGAAAGUGACCUCGUCAAUGACCUCUAAUUGUGUACAGUUGUUGAUGUCAGGUAUGGUAUUGAGCAUACUCAGUUCCUUCAUAUCUUCCCACCUGUUACACCAGAUCUGAUCCAUUGUUCUCCAGACCUGUCAGAGUUUUUCUCUGGACCCUGUUUCAGACCUGAUUUCUUCCGAUCCAUGAAAUUAAGCCUAAUGUGUUUAAAACAAGGAUUAAAGUAGGCAAAGUGGAUAAAAGACGUUGGCCAGAUAAAUCAGAACUAAAAGUAAUUUAUUCAGAAUAGGG
Long non-coding RNA from Xiphophorus hellerii (green swordtail), 2566 nucleotides. RefSeq lists it as uncharacterized. The transcript has 2 exons. Lineage: Eukaryota; Metazoa; Chordata; Actinopteri; Cyprinodontiformes; Poeciliidae. The record is from RefSeq and is a predicted model, not a curated record.